RNAcentral lists this ribosomal RNA (265 nucleotides) under uncultured bacterium. RNAcentral's name for it is "partial 16S ribosomal RNA". It matches the Rfam family "Bacterial small subunit ribosomal RNA", at positions 793 to 1055 of the family's 1533-position model. The record is from RNAcentral.
GUCCACACUGUAAACGAUGAGUGCUAGACGUCGGGUGUUUACACUCGGUGUCGCAGCUAACGCAUUAAGCACUCCGCCUGGGGAGUACGGUCGCAAGAUUAAAACUCAAAGGAAUUGACGGGGGCCCCGCACAAGCGGUGGAGCAUGUGGUUUAAUUCGAAGCAACGCGAAAAACCUUACCAGGCCUUGACAUGGUGAUUAAGGGUUUCAGAGAUGAGACCCGUCAGUUCGGCUGGAUCACACACAGGUGCUGCAUGGCUGUCGU